Molecule: ribosomal RNA, 469 nt
Filed under: uncultured bacterium
Lineage: Bacteria
Description: partial 16S ribosomal RNA
Rfam family: Bacterial small subunit ribosomal RNA
Source: RNAcentral
GAUGAACGCUGGCGGCGUGCUUAACACAUGCAAGUCGAACGGUGAACACGGAGCUUGCUCUGUGGGAUCAGUGGCGAACGGGUGAGUAACACGUGAGCAACCUGCCCCUGACUCUGGGAUAAGCGCUGGAAACGGCGUCUAAUACUGGAUAUGUGACGUGACCGCAUGGUCUGCGUUUGGAAAGAUUGUUCGGUUGGGGAUGGGCUCGCGGCCUAUCAGCUUGUUGGUGAGGUAAUGGCUCACCAAGGCGUCGACGGGUAGCCGGCCUGAGAGGGUGACCGGCCACACUGGGACUGAGACACGGCCCAGACUCCUACGGGAGGCAGCAGUGGGGAAUAUUGCACAAUGGGCGCAAGCCUGAUGCAGCAACGCCGCGUGAGGGAUGACGGCCUUCGGGUUGUAAACCUCUUUUAGCAGGGAAGAAGCGAAAGUGACGGUACCUGCAGAAAAAGCGCCGGCUAACUACGUG